This 229-nucleotide ribosomal RNA is filed under the name uncultured bacterium. Its description in RNAcentral is "partial 16S ribosomal RNA". It matches the Rfam family "Bacterial small subunit ribosomal RNA", at positions 104 to 334 of the family's 1533-position model. The record is from RNAcentral.
CGGGGUGAGUAAUGUAUGGGGAUCUGCCUGAUGGCGGGGGAUAACUACUGGAGACGGUAGCUAAUACCGCAUAAUGUCUACGGACCAAAGCGGGGGACCUCCGGGCCUCGCGCCAUCAGAUGAACCCAUAUGGGAUUAGCUUGUAGGUAAGGUAACGGCUUACCUAGGCGACGAUCCCUAGCUGGUCUGAGAGGAUGAUCAGCCACACUGGGACUGAGACACGGCCCAG